GUGUGUGACUACCUGUGCUCAUCCUUGAUACCAAUGUGACACAGACAGUUUUACCGUUUCUGCCAGGCGAUGAUGGAUUCCUGUGUUGCCAAGGAUGAGCAAACCCACAGCACUGCAGACUCUGGCAAUCGGCCAUCUUCGGUUCCUAACCAGGAUGUGGAGUCAAACGCAGAGGACAGCGAUGCAGGUGACAGCUUCAGAUGAACAUGGUACCUUCAGGCGUUUGGAAAUUGCUCCCAAGGAUGAACCAGACUUGUGGAGGUCUACAAUUUUUAUCUGAUUUCUUUUGGUUUUCCCAUGAUGUCAAGCAAAAAGGCACUGAGUUUCAAGCAGGUUGAGGAGCAUGCUCUCGCUGCACACUCGUGCCCCUCUGCACGCUCAAGAAAGGAAUAAAGGAGAGAGAGGAGGAUAUGGAAACACAUGGUGGUUUUCUGUAUAGAUAAGUUGUUUCACACAAUUAAUUAUGAAAAUAUUUUUAAAAAUCACAAAUUUACUCAUUACUAAAGGCAUCUUAAUUAAAUCAGUUUUGUUUGUUUUUCUGCAAUGCGUAAUAUGCAGGGGGCUAUGUAUUGUAUAACAGCACAAUUAUCCUUUUAAUUCAGUUUUUUCAGGCUUGCAUAAACUCUAAUAUGUUUAUGGGGGUUUUGAAUGAAUC
This is a long non-coding RNA of Oncorhynchus keta (chum salmon), 655 nucleotides long. RefSeq lists it as uncharacterized. NCBI's taxonomy places the organism in Eukaryota, Metazoa, Chordata, Actinopteri, Salmoniformes, Salmonidae. The record is from RefSeq and is a predicted model, not a curated record. The transcript is spliced from 5 exons.